CCCCCCCGGCAAGGGGCAAAGAGGCACCUGAUGGCGUUGUUCUUAUAUCAGUUAAGGACAGAGCAGGUUGUAGUCCUUUGUUCAUCCUAGCUUGAUGCCUAGUUUGGCGGCCAAAGCUGUUCUAUGCCGAGAACUCAUAA
Molecule: small nucleolar RNA, 140 nt
Organism: Meriones unguiculatus (Mongolian gerbil)
Lineage: Eukaryota; Metazoa; Chordata; Mammalia; Rodentia; Muridae
Product: small nucleolar RNA SNORA48
Exons: 1
Source: RefSeq, a predicted model, not a curated record